AUGUGCCACAGUAUGAUGAAAUGGAGAUAACAAAUAUCAUAGGAAGAUUUCUCAAGAUGAAGUCAAUAACCUACUCUGAAGGUUAGAACAUCCAUAAAAAUAAGAAGAAUUGAUUUAACUACUUGUUCGCCAGCUGGAAGCUUUCUGGAGAGCUUUUAACUGAUUAAAGGAUUCUAUUUCACUCUGAGAAAAUAGGACAUUGCGAAGAAGGAAACAGAAAAAAUAAUGUCAGGAAAAAUGGGGAUAUCGUCAAUAGAAAAUAAACACAAGUGUUACAACAAGUGUAAAAAUACCAUCUCGUUCGCUUUGACGUUAGAGUUGAAGACAUCACAGCGCCAAUUUGAUGCCGCAUGCUCCUUAUGCCGUUUAGUGUAUUGGUCUUGGGAGUAAUGAAGAGGUGGAUUUGAAGAGAUAUUAAAUCAUCACUGAUGACGAAUCGCUAGUUAUUGACACGCAUCCGACAGACAUGGGGACGAUAAACUAAAAGAUAAACAUCAAAACGGAACACAAAAUCGAUUAAAACAUGAGAGUUUGGGAUUAUUACGUCUCAUGUCGUAACUACACGUAUAUUUUCAACAACUUCAAUACCAAGUCCUAUAUUUCAGUUAGCUACAGCUGAGGUUAAGAUAUCCAAUCCGGAGCUUAUAACUGUUCUCGAUUAGGUGAUUUUUUGUGAGUCCGUCCUCUCUUGAGAUCUGAGAUGGAAGUAUCAGAAAACGGGGAUUACAUGUAUUAGUCGAUACAUAACUCCAUGACCAGACAGUCCACGCAUGACAGCCUAAAUCAGAAAGGUUCCUAAACUGCAAUUUUGGCGAAUUGCCUUGAGUGGAUACCCAAUGAAUGGGUUCAAGGAGAUCAUUUAUGACUAAUGAUGAAAUAGUGUCAUUCAGUUAAUGUCGUAGUGGACUACGGUUGACCGAAGAUCCUACAGUAUCGAGAUGUAGAAAAAACCCCAAUGAUGUGUUCUUAGAGAACAGGGGCAUCAGGAGAGCACCAUAGUCGCUGCUUGAUGACCAGACUGUGGUGUGCAGAUUUAAGUAUAUUAACGCCGUUGUCAUUAUAACUAAGACAUAUAGAACAUUCUCGAUGAGAUGUUGCGGUAUACUUCAGAUUGUCGACGCUCAAAUGUGGGACUGUGUCUGUGAAAUCUCAACAUUAUCUGCAUUGUCACUACUGAUAUUCUCAAACGUAUAUUCUGAAGAGGAGCUUCAUCAUAUUGGGAGUAGUCAUCGUUUGUAUCCGGUCUUAGUCAUUUUUAGAUGCUGUGUAUAACACCUUUUGCAAAUCUUGCUAUCGGUUAUCACUAAUAACCCGUCUUCUCUGAGCUAAGAUUUUAGCCACCUACCAUACUGUGAAUCAAGACUCCUCGGCAAUUUUAGGGUUUCGUCAUUAUCUUUGAACCUUGUAAGGCAACUUGAAAUGAUGCGCUUGUCAUUCAUUUCAUGCAAUUACUUAAUUGCUCUGAAUAAUGAUACAAGAUUUUACUUGAUGAUAUCACUCAUUUGACUGAUAUAUAUUUUUAUACAUCUCACAACUGAAUGUAGAACUGCAUAAUUCAUUUACAUACUAUAAUGUACAGGAAUUAGAUGAAACAAGUCCACUACACUCUGUUGAUGAUCAGGCAUGUCCUGAAGAUAACUAUUUUGUCCUUUCAACAACUACCUAUAGACUCGAUAUACAUAUGUAG
Ylistrum balloti is the source of this 1687-nucleotide long non-coding RNA. RefSeq lists it as uncharacterized. The transcript is spliced from 3 exons. Lineage: Eukaryota; Metazoa; Mollusca; Bivalvia; Pectinida; Pectinidae. The record is from RefSeq and is a predicted model, not a curated record.